This 432-nucleotide ribosomal RNA is filed under the name uncultured bacterium. RNAcentral's name for it is "bacterial SSU rRNA". It matches the Rfam family "Bacterial small subunit ribosomal RNA", at positions 30 to 441 of the family's 1533-position model. The record is from RNAcentral.
AGCGAACGUUAGCGGCGGGCUUAACACAUGCAAGUCGAGCGAGAAAGCGUCCUUCGGGGCGUUAGUAAAGCGGCGCACGGGUGAGUAACACGUGGAUAACCUACCCUUCGGCGGGGGACAACAGCUCGAAAGGGCUGCUAAUACCGCAUACGUCGGUGACGGCUUCGGCUGUUACCGGGAAAGGUGGCCUCGCAAGGGGCUAUCACCGGAGGAGGGGUCCGCGGCCCAUCAGCUUGUUGGUGAGGUAACGGCUCACCAAGGCUCAGACGGGUAGCUGGUCUGAGAGGAUGAUCAGCCCUGGACGACGGACUGAGACACGGCCCAGACUCCUACGGGANGCAGCAGUGGGGAAUAUUGGACAAUGGGCGAAAGCCUGAUCCAGCCACGCCGCGUGUGUGAUGAAGGUCUUCGGAUCGUAAAGCACUGUGGAGA